This 443-nucleotide ribosomal RNA is filed under the name uncultured bacterium. RNAcentral describes it as "partial 16S ribosomal RNA". It matches the Rfam family "Bacterial small subunit ribosomal RNA", at positions 338 to 795 of the family's 1533-position model. The record is from RNAcentral.
CCUACGGGUGGCAGCAGUGGGGAAUAUUGCGCAAUGGGCGCAAGCCUGACCCAGCAACGCCGCGUGAAGGAAGAAGGCUUUCGGGUUGUAAACUCCUUUUCUUAGGGACGAAGCCAGCGACGGUACCUGAGGAAUAAGCCACGGCGAACUACGUGCCAGCAGCCGCGGUAAUACGUAGGGGGCAAGCGUUAUCCGGAAUUACUGGGUGUAAAGGGUGAGUAGGCGGCAUGGUAAGCCAGAUGUGAACUCCUUGGGCUUAAACCGAGGAUUGCAUUUGAAACUAUCAAGCUAGAGUACAGGAGAGGAAGGCGGAAUUCCUGGUGUAGCGGUGAAAUGCGUAGAUAUUAGGAAGAACACCAGUGGCGAAGGCGGCUUUCCGGACUGAAACUGACGCUGAGGCACGAAAGCGUGGGGAGCGAACAGGAUUAGAUACCCGAGUAGUC